GUGGUGGGAGAGGUUGGUGUUGGUGGAUGUGGUGUUGGAAAUGGUGUAGGGGGAAGUGUUGGUGGAGGAAGUGGUGGAGGAAGUGGUGGUGGAGGUGGAGGAGGUGGUGGAGUAUGUGGUGGUGGAGGAGGGGAUGGUGGAGGAAGUAGUUGUGUUAGAGGAAGUGGUGGAGGUGGAGGAAGUGGUGGUGGAGGUGGUGGAGGUAAAAAUUGUGGUGGAGGAAGUGGUGGUGGAGGAAGAGGAGGUGUUGGAGGGAAUGGUGGUGGAAGUGGUAGAGGAUGUGGUGGGGGAAGUGGUGGAGAAUGUGGUGGUAUAGGAGGUGGUGGAGGAGGUGAUGGAGGAAAGAGUGGAGUUGGUGGUGGUGGUGGUGGUGGAGGUUGAAGUGGUGGUGGUGGGGGUUGUGGAG
Molecule: long non-coding RNA, 406 nt
Organism: Oncorhynchus tshawytscha (Chinook salmon)
Lineage: Eukaryota; Metazoa; Chordata; Actinopteri; Salmoniformes; Salmonidae
Source: Ensembl